GAUGAAGACGUAGCGAAAUGCGAUAAGUAAUGUGAAUUGCAGAAUUCCGUGAAUCAUCGAAUCUUUGAACGCACAUUGCGCCCGCCAGUAUUCUGGCGGGCAUGCCUGUCCGAGCGUCAUUUCAACCCUCGAACCCCUCCGGGGGGUCGGCGUUGGGGACCUCGGGAGCCCCUAAGACGGGAUCCCGGCCCCGAAAUACAGUGGCGGUCUCGCCGCAGCCUCUCCUGCGCAGUAGUUUGCACAACUCGCACCGGGAGCGCGGCGCGUCCACGUCCGUAAAACACCCAACUUCUGAAAUGUUGACCUCGGAUCAGGUAGGAAUACCCGCUGAACUUAAGCAUAUCAAUAAGCGGAGGA
Molecule: unclassified non-coding RNA, 357 nt
Filed under: soil metagenome
Description: partial contains 5.8S ribosomal RNA, internal transcribed spacer 2, and large subunit ribosomal RNA
Rfam family: 5.8S ribosomal RNA (bases 1-119)
Source: RNAcentral